AUGCUUUGCUUAUCUAUUUAUUUAUUGGGUCACACAUUGUUGUGUGGUUCUUUUACAAGUGAAGCUAAAAAGAAUUGUUCCUCUCGCUAUCCUUUGCACCAUUUAUGGUGUAUUUGGACGUUGGGGUACUACAUUG
Molecule: small nucleolar RNA, 136 nt
Filed under: Nicotiana sylvestris (wood tobacco)
Lineage: Eukaryota; Viridiplantae; Streptophyta; Magnoliopsida; Solanales; Solanaceae
Also listed under: 1 other name
Description: Small nucleolar RNA snoR136
Rfam family: Small nucleolar RNA snoR136
Source: Rfam by way of RNAcentral